AUCUAGCUGACGAGUCCCAAAUAGGACGAAACACGCGUCCUGAAU
RNAcentral lists this non-coding RNA (45 nucleotides) under Schistosoma mansoni. Lineage: Eukaryota; Metazoa; Platyhelminthes; Trematoda; Strigeidida; Schistosomatidae. The record is from RNAcentral.